CGGGGCGUGGCGCAGCCUGGUAGCGCACCUGCUUUGGGAGCAGGGGGCCGCAGGUUCAAAUCCUGCCGCCCCGACCA
This 77-nucleotide transfer RNA is filed under the name Desulfosudis oleivorans Hxd3. RNAcentral describes it as "tRNA-Pro (TGG) (tRNA-Pro-TGG-1-1)". It matches the Rfam family "tRNA". From Rfam's summary of the family: Transfer RNA (tRNA) molecules are approximately 80 nucleotides in length. Their secondary structure includes four short double-helical elements and three loops (D, anti-codon, and T loops). Lineage: Bacteria; Pseudomonadati; Thermodesulfobacteriota; Desulfobacteria; Desulfobacterales; Desulfosudaceae. The record is from RNAcentral. RNAcentral also lists the same sequence under 2 other names.